Cyprinus carpio carpio is the source of this 1171-nucleotide long non-coding RNA. NCBI's taxonomy places the organism in Eukaryota, Metazoa, Chordata, Actinopteri, Cypriniformes, Cyprinidae. The record is from Ensembl.
CUUCAAUGUUUAGUGCAAGAGAAAAGCGCUGCAUGUGUGGAGUUACUUACAGUGACUCUCCAUUCCUGCACUUUAUCGGUUUUGUUUGUUUAUGUGCUGGAAUAGAUGCUGUUUAGUGAUAUUAAAAACACUGUCACUGAGCUGUCAUCUGCAGGAUCUGUAUUUUAAACGGUCUGCACAUGUUGUCACAACAAGCGUCAUUCUGUCACUCAUCGGAAGCGCUCAGACUGAACGUGAAGCCGCUUCCGCCGCCUAGUGGAGCGGAACAACAACUGCACUUCAGUUUCACUUACGAGCAGACUCAGUCAUCUGCUUCCUCGUGUGCUCAACAAAUCUAUCAGCUUUCAUUCAGGACAAAGGACAAGGUGGCCAGUCUUAGAUUUAAAUCUCAUGUAUUUUACAACAAAUCUAAUGCUUUGUUACAGCCAGCAGAGAAACAUGGAUCUGUCAGUUUAUCUAAAUGCAUCUGAUCAGCUCUCAGUGGAUGAGGUGAAACUGAUUAAAUGUUGUGUUGAACUCAAAAGCACACACACAAACUACAGAACAAAAGGCUUUCCAAGAUUCUUGUAUUUGGACUCAAACAGUAUUUAUUUUAAUUCUUGAUUAGUUUUGGGGAAUUGGGAUGGAUUCUCCAGCUCCCUCUUGAGGAGCAUCUGAAUAGUGAGUGCUUCCCAAUCCACAUCCUGCUCCGAGUCUCUAUCUGAAGCUCUGGAUGGAGGAGGAGGAGGUGAUGUGUGGAAGAACAGGUGUAAAGUGAGUCUGAUGGAUCUACCCACAACAAACGCUGGUCAGAUUGACUGAACACUCAUGCAUUUAUAGCAAACACUGACAGGUUAUUUUAUAAACAGGACAGAUUUGGACAAAUGCUAAUUAAACCCUGUAUCAAAAUAACAGCUGACAGACUAAUAUUAUGACUAAACAUCGAAAUGUUUUUACUUAUUUUUAAUUAGAACAGACACAUGCAUGAGAUGAGAUCAGUAUAUCAGCACUCAGCACCACCUUGUGGACAACACGUGCAUCUGUAAUUAUCUGUAAAACUGCAGUAUGAACAGUGCUGUCUGAUCCUGCUCCUGCUGAGCCACUUUCCUGAGUGAAAACACCUGAAGCAGCUAAUCAAGGUCUUUAGGACCACUAGAAACUUCCAGGCAAGUCUGUUGGACUCUUAUGCAAG